AUGACAUGGAAAGCAGAGAGCAGACUAGGAGAGAGAAGAGCUGCAGUGACUGAGCUGAAUGACCGAAGCACCCUGUCAGCAGGCAUGGCAAGCCUUGUCUCAAAGGCUCUUGGAUUCUCUGUCCCAAACUGCAUGGCGUAUAAUACACUCCAGUUACACAGAUGGUUCCAGAGGCAGUCAGCUCCUGCAAGAGGGAGGAUUGCUUAUAAGCAGGUCACAGACAGAGCUGUAUGUGGAAGGUCACCAUCCUCUGUAGUAGCGGUCCCGUCUGAAGAUGGCUGCAGUGAGAACUGGAUUUCAAAUGGAAGUGUUCAGCUUAGCUCUGUUCUUGGCAGUGUUUCUUUUCCCUCAUCUGUUAAUGACUGCUGCAAAUCCUCCAGUCCAAGGGGGUGUCUUUUGUGUACUAAAUGCUGCCAUUAUUUAUCAAGCACUCUUGUUGAAUGUGCUUAAAGUCAGUCCUGCAGGACAGUUUCAAUCAAAUUCCAUUCAAUUUAUUCUAUCUGAAUAACUCUGAAAUGUAAAUAAAAUUAAAUUAAUGGUGCUGUAUUUGUAUCCU
Molecule: long non-coding RNA, 556 nt
Filed under: Anser cygnoides (Swan goose)
Lineage: Eukaryota; Metazoa; Chordata; Aves; Anseriformes; Anatidae
Description: lncRNA (ENSACDG00005011055.1)
Source: RNAcentral